GGCCUAAACCACCCUUAAAGGUUGGCAUGGCAUAAAAUCCGUUCAAGGUAGAAAACCCGUCGUCAGGGUUCCUUGAACGGUCGCAGGGGGAAACUUCUGCGUUCUGCCCGAAAGGGUAGA
RNAcentral lists this small RNA (120 nucleotides) under unclassified sequences. Its description in RNAcentral is "LOOT RNA". It matches the Rfam family "LOOT RNA". From Rfam's summary of the family: Latescibacteria, OD1/Parcubacteria, OP11, TM7. The record is from Rfam by way of RNAcentral.